AUCAACUCCCAACCCUAUGUGACUUACCACUUGUUGCUUCGGCGCGCGCUUCGGCGCCGCCGAGGACACUUAAACUCUUUGUUUUUAUAAGCAUUUCUGAGUGGCCGAAAGGCAAAAAUACAAAUGAAUCAAAACUUUCAACAACGGAUCUCUUGGUUCUGGCAUCGAUGAAGAACGCAGCGAAAUGCGAUAAGUAAUGUGAAUUGCAGAAUUCAGUGAAUCAUCGAAUCUUUGAACGCACAUUGCGCCCGCCAGCAUUCUGGCGGGCAUGCCUGUUCGAGCGUCAUUUCAACCCUCGAGCCCGACUCUUUUGAGGACGGCUCGGCGUUGGGGGACGGCAGACUCCCCCCGGCAUCUCGCCGGGGACGCCGCCCCCGAAAUCUAGUGGCGGCCCUCCGAGGCGACCUCUGCGUAGUAACUUGUUCUCGCACCGGAAAGCUCAGAGCGGCCACGCCGUAAAACCCCAACUUUUUUCAGGUUGACCUCGAAUCAGGUAGGACUACCCGCUGAACUUAAGCAUAUCAAUAAGCGGAGGAAAAAGAAAACCC
RNAcentral lists this ribosomal RNA (548 nucleotides) under Gloeotinia temulenta. Its description in RNAcentral is "eukaryotic LSU rRNA". The stretch from base 133 to 286 matches the Rfam family "5.8S ribosomal RNA". Lineage: Eukaryota; Fungi; Ascomycota; Leotiomycetes; Helotiales. The record is from RNAcentral.